GCAAGUCGAGCGCGCCCUUCGGGGUGAGCGGCGGACGGGUGAGUAACGCGUGGGAAUAUGCCCUUCUCUAAGGAAUAGCCUCGGGAAACUGAGAGUAAUACCGUAUACGCCCUUUUGGGGAAAGAUUUAUCGGUGAAGGAUUGGCCCGCGUUAGAUUAGAUAGUUGGUGGGGUAAUGGCUCACCAAGGCGACGAUCUAUAGCUGGUUUGAGAGGAUGAUC
This 220-nucleotide ribosomal RNA is filed under the name uncultured bacterium. RNAcentral describes it as "partial 16S ribosomal RNA". It matches the Rfam family "Bacterial small subunit ribosomal RNA", at positions 57 to 305 of the family's 1533-position model. The record is from RNAcentral.